GGUGCUGUGAGAGGGGAGUGGGUUGGGGUUUUGCAUAGAGACAGUGUGUGGCUAAACUGCAGCUGCUAUAAAAGUGCCAGUGUCCCUGUGCCAUAUUAAUGAUCUGUAUCUGUCACACAGUGCUACAUACACACAUGCCUUAUCCCACUUAUCUACUGCUGGGGCUGCUGCUGGGGGGCCCCCUGCUCUUUAGCCACGGUUCCUAUGGGCAGAUUGUGCUGACUCAGUCCCCAGAUUAUGUCUCUGUGUCACCGGGAGAAACUGCCACCCUCACAUGUAAAGCCAGUAGCAGUGUUGUUGAUAGUGAUGGAGACAGUAGGAUCUACUGGUUCCAGCAAAAGUCAGGGAAAGCACCAAAGCUGCUAAUCUACUGGGCAACCAGGCGACACACAGGGACCCCAGAGCGGAUCAGCGGCAACGGUUCUGGAACUGAUUUCUCCCUUACAAUCAGCAGAAUGGAAGCAGAAGAUGCAGCAGAUUAUUACUGUAUGCAGGACUUCCAGUCCCCACUCACACAGUGAUACAGAGCUGAACAAAAACCUUCCCCUUUAUUUCCAGCUGCAGUUGAGCUGAAUGUCGGUGCCACUGAGAGGGGGGCCCAUAUAGUGACUGCUGUUAUACAGACUGGGCUUCCCAAUAUGAAUACAGAUAAGUACAGGGGAGAGAAUGUGUGGGGUGAGUGGGAGAUUCCUGCUGGGAGUUCAGUACAGCUGGGAGCCUACUUGCCCAUCAGAAGGGUGCUGGGA
Non-coding RNA from Xenopus tropicalis (tropical clawed frog), 746 nucleotides. The record is from the annotation of a RefSeq genome assembly. Lineage: Eukaryota; Metazoa; Chordata; Amphibia; Anura; Pipidae.